GGACGGUAACGCGGGGCAACCUGGCGACGAGUGGCGAACGGGUGAGUAAUACAUCGGAACGUGCCCAGUAGUGGGGGAUAGCCCGGCGAAAGCCGGAUUAAUACCGCAUACGACCUACGGGUGAAAGCGGGGGAUCGCAAGACCUCGCGCUAUUGGAGCGGCCGAUGUCAGAUUAGGUAGUUGGUGAGGUAAAGGCUCACCAAGCCUUCGAUCUGUAGCUGGUCUGAGAGGACGACCAGCCACACUGGGACUGAGACACGGCCCAGACUCCUACGGGAGGCAGCAGUGGGGAAUUUUGGACAAUGGGCGCAAGCCUGAUCCAGCCAUGCCGCGUGCGGGAAGAAGGCCUUCGGGUUGUAACCGCUUUUGUCAGGGAAGAAACGCUCUGGGCUAAUACCCCGGGGUAAUGACGGUACCUGAAGAAUAAGCACCGGCUAACUACGUGCCAGCAGCCGCGGUAAUACGUAGGGUGCAAGCGUUAAUCGGAAUUACUGGGCGUAAAGCGUGCGCAGGCGGUUAUGCAAGACAGAUGUGAAAUCCCCGGGCUUAACCUGGGAACUGCAUUUGUGACUGCAUAGCUAGAGUGCGGCAGAGGGGGAUGGAAUUCCGCGUGUAGCAGUGAAAUGCGUAGAUAUGCGGAGGAACACCGAUGGCGAAGGCAAUCCCCUGGGCCUGCACUGACGCUCAUGCACGAAAGCGUGGGGAGCAAACAGGAUUAGAUACCCUGGUAGUCCACGCCCUAAACGAUGUCAACUGGUUGUUGGAGGGGUUCCCUUUCAGUAACGAAGCUAACGCGUGAAGUUGACCGCCUGGGGAGUACGGCCGCAAGGUUGAAACACAAAGGAAUUGACGGGGACCCGCACAAGCGGUGGAUGAUGUGGUUUAAUUCGAUGCAACGCGAAAAACCUUACCUACCCUUGACAUGUCUGGAAUUCCGCAGAGAUGUGGAAGUGCUCGAAAGAGAACCAGAACACAGGUGCUGCAUGGCCGUCGUCAGCUCGUGUCGUGAGAUGUUGGGUUAAGUCCCGCAACGAGCGCAACCCUUGUCAUUAGUUGCUACGAAAGGGCACUCUAAUGAGACUGCCGGUGACAAACCGGAGGAAGGUGGGGAUGACGUCAGGUCCUCAUGGCCCUUAUGGGUAGGGCUACACACGUCAUACAAUGGCCGGUACAGAGGGCUGCCAACCCGCGAGGGGGAGCUAAUCCCAGAAAACCGGUCGUAGUCCGGAUAGCAGUCUGCAACUCGACUGCGUGAAGUCGGAAUCGCUAGUAAUCGCGGAUCAGCUUGCCGCGGUGAAUACGUUCCCGGGUCUUGUACACACCGCCCGUCACACCAUGGGAGCGGGUUCUGCCAGAAGUAGUUAGCCUAACCGUAAGGGGGGCGAUUACCACGACAGGGUUCGUGACUGGGGU
This 1413-nucleotide ribosomal RNA is filed under the name metagenome. RNAcentral describes it as "bacterial SSU rRNA". It matches the Rfam family "Bacterial small subunit ribosomal RNA". The record is from RNAcentral.